GACGAACGCUGGCGGCGUGCCUAACACAUGCAAGUCGAACGAAAAGACCCGGCUCUUGUGCGGUGCUCGAUUGGCGAACGGGUGAGUGAAACGUGAGUAACCUGCCCUUAACUGUGGGAUAACUUCAGGGGACUGGGGCUAAUACCGGAUAGGAGCUACUGCAGCGUAGGGGGCGAUGGAGAGAGUCGGCUGUGGUGGAUGGUCUAGAGGCUUAUCAGCUUGUUGGGGUGGUAGGUGAUGUCCAAGGCUUUGACGGGUAGCCGGCCUGAGAGGGUGACCGGCGACAUUGGGACUGAGGUACGGACCAGAAUCCUACGGGAGGCAGCAGUGGGAAAUAUUGCGCAAUGGGCGGAAGCCUGAGGCAGCAGCGCCGCGUGCGGGAUGACGGCUUUCGGGUUGUAAACCGCUUUCGCAUGUGACGAAGCGUGAGUGACGGUAAUGGGUAAAGAAGCACCGGCUAACUACGUG
Molecule: ribosomal RNA, 468 nt
Filed under: uncultured bacterium
Lineage: Bacteria
Description: partial 16S ribosomal RNA
Rfam family: Bacterial small subunit ribosomal RNA
Source: RNAcentral